AGACCCGAAACCCGGUGAUCUAGCCAUGGGCAGGUUGAAGGUUGGGUAACACUAACUGGAGGACCGAACCGACUAAUGUUGAAAAAUUAGCGGAUGACCUGUGGCUGGGGGUGAAAGGCCAAUCAAACCGGGAGAUAGCUGGUUCUCCCCGAAAGCUAUUUAGGUAGCGCCUCGUGAAUUCAUCUCCGGGGGUAGAGCACUGUUUCGGCUAGGGGGCCAUCCCGGCUUACCAACCCGAUGCAAACUGCGAAUACCGGAGAAUGUUAUCACGGGAGACACACGGCGGGUGCUAACGUCCGUCGUGAAGAGGGAAACAACCCAGACCGCCAGCUAAGGUCCCAAAGUCAUGGUUAAGUGGGAAACGAUGUGGGAAGGCCCAGACAGCCAGGAUGUUGGCUUAGAAGCAGCCAUCAUUUAAAGAAAGCGUAAUAGCUCACUGGUCGAGUCGGCCUGCGCGGAAGAUGUAACGGGGCUAAACCAUGCACCGAAGCUGCGGCAGCGACACUCAGGUGUUGUUGGGUAGGGGAGCGUUCUGUAAGCCUGUGAAGGUGUGUCGUGAGGCAUGCUGGAGGUAUCAGAAGUGCGAAUGCUGACAUAAGUAACGAUAAAGCGGGUGAAAAGCCCGCUCGCCGGAAGACCAAGGGUUCCUGUCCAACGUUAAUCGGGGCAGGGUGAGUCGACCCCUAAGGCGAGGCCGAAAGGCGUAGUCGAUGGGAAACGGGUUAAUAUUCCCGUACUUGGUGUUACUGCGAAGGGGGGACGGAGAAGGCUAUGUUGGCCGGGCGACGGUUGUCCCGGUUUAAGCGUGUAGGUGUGUGUUCCAGGUAAAUCCGGUUCACUUUAACACUGAGGCGUGA
RNAcentral lists this ribosomal RNA (857 nucleotides) under Salmonella enterica subsp. enterica serovar Thompson. Its description in RNAcentral is "partial 23S ribosomal RNA". It matches the Rfam family "Bacterial large subunit ribosomal RNA", at positions 711 to 1566 of the family's 2925-position model. The record is from RNAcentral. RNAcentral also lists the same sequence under 1 other name. Lineage: Bacteria; Pseudomonadati; Pseudomonadota; Gammaproteobacteria; Enterobacterales; Enterobacteriaceae.